UGGGGAAUUUUGGACAAUGGGCGAAAGCCUGAUCCAGCAAUGCCGCGUGUGUGAAGAAGGCCUUCGGGUUGUAAAGCACUUUUGUCCGGAAAGAAAUCCUUGGCUCUAAUACAGUCGGGGGAUGACGGUACCGGAAGAAUAAGCACCGGCUAACUACGUGCCAGCAGCCGCGGUAAUACGUAGGGUGCAAGCGUUAAUCGGAAUUACUGGGCGUAAAGCGUGCGCAGGCGGUUUGCUAAGACCGAUGUGAAAUCCCCGGGCUCAACCUGGGAACUGCAUUGGUGACUGGCAGGCUAGAGUAUGGCAGAGGGGGGUAGAAUUCCACGUGUAGCAGUGAAAUGCGUAGAGAUGUGGAGGAAUACCGAUGGCGAAGGCAGCCCCCUGGGCCAAUACUGACGCUCAUGCACGAAAGCGUGGGGGAGCAAACAGGAUUAGAU
Molecule: ribosomal RNA, 437 nt
Filed under: uncultured bacterium
Lineage: Bacteria
Description: partial 16S ribosomal RNA
Rfam family: Bacterial small subunit ribosomal RNA
Source: RNAcentral